Molecule: long non-coding RNA, 1199 nt
Filed under: Astyanax mexicanus (Mexican tetra)
Lineage: Eukaryota; Metazoa; Chordata; Actinopteri; Characiformes; Acestrorhamphidae
Description: lncRNA (ENSAMXG00005006121.1)
Source: RNAcentral
GGGGUUAUGACAUGAAAUGACCUUUUAAGGAAAACGAUAAAACUCAAUUGACAUUUAUUUGCUCUGGUUCUUUCUUUUUUUUCCGUUUGUUUGUUUAUCUUGCUCCGCAGCACAGCUGAAAGAGUUUGGUUUAGUGGUCAGAUCCCUGAGGAAGACUUCCGCUAGUUACACUGUACGAGGUCUUGUUAAUAAAUAAAAGGUUAUGCACCAACUCAUGAAGUGUGUGAAAUCAUAAAAUAUCACAGUCAUAAAUUGUCCUUGGGACUAUUUUAUGUUGGUAUGUUCUUAAAUAACAUGGGUAUUAUUGCUUCUUGAUAUUCCUCAAUCUCAGUUUAUCCAAACCAACCAACUGCCAACAGUUCCAGAGCACACGCACAGUAGGGUCAGUCACUCUGUGAUCGUCUGUGGUGUGGUGACAAGUAAAACAAAGAUUUCUGUACUGUAAGUGUUGUGACCAUGUAGCUAUUAAUAUACAUUUUUUUUAUAGUGAGUAAUAUGUGUAAAUGAAGUAGCUGCUCCCAUCUCAGUCAUUUAGACAAGUGAAACAAGGAUUUUUGUACUUUAUCUAUCACCACCAACACAUUGCAGGCAUUAAUAGCAUUUCUAUCAUUCAAGUCUCCAGAAGGAAAGCCCCAGGACUCCUUAGCAGCACCAAACUUCUAGCAGCUUUAGUUUUCAGAAGGAAAGCCCCAGGACUCCUCAGUGGCACCAAACUUCUAGAAGCGUUAGGAAAGCCUACAUAAAAAUUCUUAUUACAAAUGAGCGUGACAGGCGAGGAGAAAAUGGGCCCAUCAGUUAGCGGAGCUGGAGUGGAGAUAUGAUGGAUGAUGAGAAAGUUCCCCUCUAAACUUGGGGCUCUGACCUUGUUGCAGGUAAUGUUACAUGUAUCCUGGCCUUUUUACAGAUAAAGAGGCAAAAACUCAUCAGCUUGGAGACCCAGACAGAUAGCAAUGCAUCAAUCCCCAGUAUUCUUCGCCGGGGCCAAGGACACAACAAUGCAGUAAAUUCAAAAGGAGUGGAGACUGCACGUUUACAACAGAGGCUAUUAAAUGGGAGAUCUUGUUGAACUGUGUUUUUUACGUCAAGGUCCUCAAAAGAGUAAAUGCUGCAAUCAGGGCUUGCAGUGAAUUUGUAGUAAAGUUGUAUUUCAGUGCUGAUGCAGUAGCCUGGGAUUAAAGUGAAUUUGCACUAUUAAGGCA